Oncorhynchus keta (chum salmon) is the source of this 591-nucleotide long non-coding RNA. RefSeq lists it as uncharacterized. The transcript has 4 exons. NCBI's taxonomy places the organism in Eukaryota, Metazoa, Chordata, Actinopteri, Salmoniformes, Salmonidae. The record is from RefSeq and is a predicted model, not a curated record.
CAGACUGUCCCAGGUUUAGCUGGUCUCCUGUCUCUGAUGAGGAAAAGCUGUCUGGCGUUAAGUAACUCUGGGGAAGCAGCCGGAGGACUGCUUGGAGAGAUGCUCCUGGAGAAUGUCUUGACAGAGAUAGACAGUCUCCUGUCUCAAGGUAUCCUAAGCAACAGCCGGGAGGUGAGUAGGUUGCUAGGCGCCGUGGAGGACACCUUGAUGCUCAUCGGGCCACAGCUCAGAGACACCCACACCACCAUGGAAACAGACCACACAGCUACUGAGCUUGCAGUGAGGAGGGGACAGACUCCGCCCCAUUGGGCCAAUCAGCCUGGCCAAUGACAACGUGCGACUGGACACCAGCUGGGAGACAGCCACUGGCAACGGGACGUACCCAGGUUUCACUCUGGCUGGGUUGGUGUGUUACAAGACAGUGGAGAAAUCUGUCAACAACUCCUUCCAGUACCUCACUGACACGGACACCAACAGAGACACAGCAACCGCCACAGCAUCAAAGCCUAGCUACCAGAUUAGUUCCAAGGUGGUAACUGCUCUCAUCAGUAACUCAGCAACAGAACACCUCACCCAGCCUGUCAUCCUCAC